AGCAGCCGCGGUAAUUCCAGCUCCAAUAGCGUAUAUUAAAGUUGUUGCAGUUAAAAAGCUCGUAGUUGAAUUUCGGGGUCAGUAGGUUGGUCAUGCCACUGGUAUGUACUGGUCUCACUGAUUCCUCCUUCCUGAUGAGCCGUAAUGCCAUUAAUUUGGUGUUGCGAGGAAUCUGGACUGUUACUUUGAAAAAUUGAGUGUUUAAAGCAGGCUAACGCUUGAAUACAUUAGCAUGGAAUAAUGAAAUAGGACGUUCGAUCUUAUUUUGUUGGUUUCUAAGAUUGACGUAAUGAUUAAUAGGGAUAGUUGGGGGCAUUAGUAUUCAAUUGUCAGAGGUGAAAUUCUUGGAUUUAUUGAAGACUAACUACUGCGAAAGCAUUUGCCAAGGAUGUUUUCAUUAAUCAAGAACGAAAGUUAGGGGAUCGAAGACGAUCAGAUACGUCGUAGUCUUAACCAUAAACUAUGCCGACUAGGGAUUCGGAUGAUGUUAAUUUUUAUGACUCAUUC
This 507-nucleotide ribosomal RNA is filed under the name uncultured Glomus. RNAcentral describes it as "SSU rRNA". It matches the Rfam family "Eukaryotic small subunit ribosomal RNA", at positions 569 to 1081 of the family's 1831-position model. Lineage: Eukaryota; Fungi; Glomeromycota; Glomeromycetes; Glomerales; Glomeraceae. The record is from RNAcentral.